GUGAAAGUGUUUCAGAGAACACAUAAUGGAACUGACAUUAGGUCACACUUGGAAUGGUAGAAUAUAAACAAUCUUAAUGAUAUCAGUUGUCAGAUGUUUAUUUGAUCUGAAUGUUAACUGAGUAUUUUUCUUUCUGCUAUUGGACACAGGAUGUUGACAGAUGGCCUUGGGUUAUGCGUUUGAUUGGAUUGUAACAAUCAACACGUUAUCCCUGUGAAUCACAAGACACACUUUUUGCUGCUAUCACAAUCAUUGAUUGAGCAAGUGCAGUAAGUGAUUGGAAAAGUCAGCUACUCUUACUUAAUCAUCACAGUUGCCAUGGUGCAGGUGAGAGAGGUCAUGGGGCCAUGGGCAGUUCCAGGGUUGGGGUCAUUCUCUUCAGAUUUCGUCGUGUUCUCUCUGCUCUUCCUCCUCCUCUCCAUCAUCCUCGCCCUCUGCACUAACUGUAGAAGGCAUUCCUUUACGCUCCGGGAUGGUGGUGAGGAGGUGGACAGAACCCAGUCACAGCUGGUCAGAGUGGUGAGAGAUGGGACGGGCAACAACAAUGAUGACAGCUAUGUCCUGACCAGGGUUACACUUGGGGUGGGCGCUCAGAAGUCGGUUAGAUUGGAGGUGAAGCUAGAAGAUGCCCUGGCCGCCAGGGAGAACCCAAUGAUCAAUGACAUCAGAAAAGAUGAGAGUGAUUUCAGUCCCAGACCUGAGGACAGUGUCAUUGGUGUACCGGAUCAGCCUCCUGCUGAGCAGGAUGUCACCUGGUUGAAACCCUGGAGGAGCCACAGGGAGGCACCUGAUCAAGGUGAUUCUCCAAGUGCCUUGCAGAUUGCCAACAGAACCCCCAUGGUCAUGACGAUUAUAUCUCCUUCGCCUCCAGCAACCGUCGACAUUGGUGACCUGAGUGAUGUCCUGAACUUCACACCUGAGCUCCACUUUAUCCCAGCCCCCAUUGUCAUGGUGGAAGUCGACACCCCCCUUGAAUCUUUAUCCCCACCUGUCUAUUCAGAGGACACCCUAGAUGCCACAAUCGUGAGCAGUUUUGAACCUGUUGAUGUCCCCAUUGUGGAGGUCCCCAUCAUGAGCAGCCUUAAACCUGUUGCUGUCCCCAUCCUUGAACCUCUGGUUGUCCCCAUCGUGAGCAUUCUUGAACCUGUGGAAGUCCCCAAUGUGAAUGUCCACAUCGUGAGUAGUUUUGAAUCUGUGGAAGCCCCCAUCGUGGAUCUCCCCAUCAUGGAUGUCACCAUUGUGAACAGCCUUGAACCUCUGCAAGCCCCAAUUGUGGAUGCACCCAUCGUGAGCAGCCUUGAACCUGUUGAACAUGCAGAUGCCACUGUCAUGAAUGACCUUGAUAUCCUGAAUGCUCCAGUUGGCUUAGAGAACCUGGAUGCCCCAGUCAUCAACAGUCUUGACACACUGGUGCUGGACGCUCUUAUUGUAAACAGCCUUGAACCUGUGGACAUCCCUGUCAUCAAUGACCUUGACACUCCAGAUACCCCCAUCAUAAAUAUUCUUGACACCCUGGAGCUGGAUGCUCCCAUCAUAGAUGUCCCCAUUGUGGACAGCCUUGCACCUGUGGAAUUCCCCAUCAUGAAUGACAUUGACCUCCUGGAGAACCCUGCGGAGUUCAGCUCCAGCUUUAACCCUCAGCUUGAAGUAGAGGUUCAUGUGGAGGGUGAGGACCAGAACCAGGGGCUUUGUCUGUGUGUCCAACCUCAGCGUACCUAUGAGAUCAUUGGGGAGCCCAAUCCUGAUGAACCCUCUGGAAGUGGACCUGGCAACCCCAGGCUCUCAAACCAUAGCUGAACUGGUCCAUAACUCCACCACACAUUCUGACGAUGACACAACCACAGUCACCGAGCCAGCGGACCUGGAAAGCCCAGGCUAUGAUACUAUAGCUGAACUGGUCCAGGAUUCGAGUGCAACCACACUGCCUGACGAUGACCCUAUCACAACCACAGUCACAGAGCCAGGGGAUCAGAUAACCCCUGCGUAUGAAACCAUUGCUGAACUGGUCCAUAAAUUGAGCGCAACCACACUGCCUGACGAUGAGCCAAUAAGAACCACAGUCACAGAGCCAGGAGAAGGGCUUGACCUUACAAGCCCUCUCUCAGUGGCAGAGGAGGGUUUCUGUGACGGGGUGGAAUCCAAUGUACGCUAGAGUGAGAAAGAAGCUUAGUAAAAGUACCACCCCACCACCUGUGCUUCCAUCGGAGGACGAGGAACCGGAGGGAUUUUCACCUCCAUUACCAGAGAGAAGUGGAGAGAUGGAGGGAUGAUCAUUGUAGAAUAUCUCAUAAGACUUCAAAUGUGUGUUACGUCAUCAAUUAUAUUUAUAUAGACUCAACUGUGUCAUUUCUGGUGGAACAUGUCUCAGAUGAUGAAGAUAAGGGUUGUACCCAGUACAUAUCUUAUACGAUCUCAUAUGAGACGGGUAUCUCACUGUCCUAUCCUUCAUAUACACUAUUUCCAGUCCUUUCAUUAGCUUUGCAUUGAACUCCGUACAAUGCUAUGCUACAUAUUCCAUAAGGAAGGACCCUAAGCCCAGAGUAGAACUGGGUCACCUAACAUGUUCCAGAGUAGGCUUUAUGUUUGUAUUUACUAACACAUUACAGUGUGAAGUGGCAAUUACACAGUAAUAAAUCAUUGAGUUACAGGUUUCUUUGAGAUUCAUUCAACUUGGUCCACUUAAGAUUCUCUCCCUCUCUAGAAUUACAAACAUUAUACUUUAAUGACAAUAGUGGUGCAUUCUUAAUAAAUAAUGUAUAUCAACAAAUUAAAUGGACAACAUUAUGGGUGUGUCCGAAUACCCAUACUUAAAUAGAAGGCUUUUUGGGUAUGCAAAAAUGUUUUAUAGUAUGUGUCAUUUAGAAAAUGUAGUAUGCUUUAAGUGCAAGGAUGUCAUACUAAUUUUGGCUUUAAAUCAAGUAGAAUUUGCGCAUAGAGAAUGACAGAGGACUCCAGUGGCCAAAAACUUGUUUUAUCAUGGGCAUUGAGGACUUUCACCAUUUUGAAGUAGUUAACUGGAUGGGACUUACUAUGGGUUAAGGAAGGCUAAAAUAAUUCCAUCCAGGUCCAAGGAUAGAUCAGCCAAUGAAUUAUACUUGUGCACAAACAUUACAUAACUGUAGGGGCAGUAAAUCGCCAACCUUGGCUUUAUACCUGUUCAGACAACACACUCCGGAUGGCAGUAUGCAACCUUUCAGUUUGUUUACCAACUGUACUAAAAUGUACUACUUUAAAAUGGAGAUGUCCUCAAUGGUGCUGCCCAUGCUCUUACAGACGCCAUAAUGGGACAGAUACAUUGUUGUGUCCUCUAACUAGCUCUAUGAAUUUGCUGCACACUAUUGAGGAAGAUAAUUGUCUUUUCACACAAGUAUUUGACAACAGCUGAUAAUCAGAAUAGGGGACCCGCUCUACAAAAAUGUAUAAAUAGCAGGGAACAAACGCGUUUGAGCAUUAGAUGAUGCCUUUUCAGUAUGGCUGAGUGGUAUGUUGAUAUUUGUUGCUUACUGCAUACAUUUUUACUAAACAGUACAUUGUAAAUAGUAUGUUGUACUAUUAGUACACAGUAUGUAGUUUUAGUAAAUAGUGGGCAAGUUGGCAUUUCCAUUUAUUUAUUCAAAGCUUUACAGGUGAGGGGUAAAACCAAUCAUUUAGAAUUUACGUACAAUAUAAAACAAAUAUUAAUUCAGUGUUGUAAAAUGUCUAUUGUCAUUAUUAGAACAUAUAGGCUGAGCAGAAUGAAAUACAAGAGGACAGAUGUAAUACACCAUUACAAUACCACAUUG
RNAcentral lists this long non-coding RNA (3782 nucleotides) under Salmo salar (Atlantic salmon). RNAcentral's name for it is "lncRNA (ENSSSAG00000121838.1)". The record is from RNAcentral. Lineage: Eukaryota; Metazoa; Chordata; Actinopteri; Salmoniformes; Salmonidae.